Molecule: small nucleolar RNA, 72 nt
Organism: Engraulis encrasicolus (European anchovy)
Lineage: Eukaryota; Metazoa; Chordata; Actinopteri; Clupeiformes; Engraulidae
Product: small nucleolar RNA SNORD82
Exons: 1
Source: RefSeq, a predicted model, not a curated record
ACCAUCAAUGAUGAUCACAAGGGACUUAAUACUGACACCUUUGAUGUCAACUUAAAAUCUUUUCUGAUGUGG